AUGUUACUUCAUUGGUUAUUAAUGAAAAGCCUUAAUUACCAAAAAAAAAAAACUUCUGAAUGCAGUGGCCCUGGGGUAUUUGUCAUGCUCAAACUCCGGUAAGUAGAUCCACACCUGUAUGAGAAAACUUAAACCAACAUUAUGUGAGACACACAUGCAAGAUAUGAUUGAGGCUAUUUUCACAAAAUAGCUUAUUUGGCUAAAAUGUGGCUAGAAAUGCAAAAUUUGGCUAAGAUCCCGCAAAGCCAAGAACCUAUAAUUUACUAGGAAGACCGGAUUCUAUGUUGGUUGCCUACGUAUCACGCCCCUAAAUACAAAAAUCAGGUUUGCGUAGUUCAAGCAGAUUGGAUGCGGGCGAGAAUAAAAAAAACAACUAAUUUAGAGAAAAUAUAUUUUUUUCUUUUUCUUUUGAAAACAGAUGAAGCAUGUAAAUUCUUUUUGAAUUUCCCCCCCUCUAUUUCUUUAAUUUUUGGAAUAUGAUGGAAAUGCAAAAUCUUUUUGAAUUUUUUAUUUUCUUUUAUUUUCUUUUUUUUUUCAAAUAUGUGAUAGAAAACAUAAUCGGGUCGUACUUGCUUCAUUUUCACACUUCACUCUCUCUCUUUUUUCUUUGUUUUUUUCUUUUGAUUUGCUCUCAACUUUCAUUGGUCCACUAAAUGACAAUGUUAACCUUGGAGAAAUGCAACAUGUAGCACAUAGGAUGUAUCGGGAUGAUUUAUUAUUUUUGGUACACCUGUCCUAGAUGGAUCCAAACCCUGUGUUGAGUCCCCUAAGUCAAAUGCACAUGAUGUAAACAAGCGCUCCUACUAGGGUUCCGGCAUGAGGUUGUGUUCUUCUAGGUUUAAAUCCUGGGAUAUUGGUCUAGACUUUGGGUACCCGAGCGGAUAAUUGGGGUCGAAGAUGGGGCGACGUACCGGGAGCACAAAAGUCUACCCGGCCUUACCACUUGUCCAGCCUCGUUCUAUUUGGUAUAAAUCUACGGGAAAAAUAGGCUACGCGAAUAUAUGCACCAUUUCCAGAAGACUUAGAGGGGUGACAUAAGAAGAUAAUUAUAUACAAUUAAAACAAUAUUAUAGCGGUGAACAGAUAGCAUUUAGCACAAAAAAGUUCACAAAAUAAAAUAAUAUUAGCAAUAAAUAAAGCCAAGUAAAAGUCAUAAAACAAGCUCGAAUUCUUGAACCCUGAAUUGGAGAUGCUGUGUUCGAUCCCCAGCGGAGUCGCCAGAGCUGUCACAAUUCUUUUUUACAUUACACCCCGCGAAGGGCGUAUAUAAGGGAGUUUUUUCUAAUUUAAGUGAUAAUCAAAAAAGGAUUAUUUAUAUUAAAAAUUCAUAGUUGCCACUUAGGAUAAUUAAUGGUAUCCCAAGUCACCGAUUCAAGGAAAAUGUUGACUCUAUUUAUGGUCCGCGAAUACAAAAAACCGGGUAAUGAAUUCUGUUAACCUAGAAAAAGGUGUUAGACACUCCCGAGUUCCGUGGUUCUAGCAUAGUCGCUUUCAUCAUACUUGACUUAUAAAAUUGUCUAAUUACUGAUUUUAGAAUAAAUGUGAGUUUAUUUUUUUUACCACUUUUGAAUUAAGAAAAUUAUCUUGGAACGAGUCACGUGUAUGUGUAUCUAUUUGUUUGGCGCGUCAAAAAUCAUGUCACGCGAACGUGUCAAAAAUUAAUAUCGCUUUAUUAUUAUUAUGAUUUUUUGGUCAAAAUUGCACGAACGCAUACUCUGGUUUUAUUUUUAGAAUCGUAAUCAUGUCACACGAACAUGUACAAAAUCAUGAUGGCAUAUUAAACUGGCCUAGAGAAACUACGAGUAUUUGUCCUUUUAAUAUCUAGGCUAUGAAUUUAAACAAGGGUCAUGAAUUGUUAACUUGUGGAUGUCACACCUCGGACUAUAUGAACUAAAUUUAAAUAGUGGCUUAUUAAAAUAAUUUUAUUAUUAAAAAAUUUGAUCGAAGUUGCACGAACACAUACUCCAAAUCAAAUUUUUAGAAUCAUAAUUACUCCACACGAGUAUGUACACAAUCAAAUUGUAUUUUUAAACAAGCACCUAAAGCCAGCUACGAGAGUAAUCAGAAUACCAUUAUCAAACAGACGAUUUUUUUUAAAAAACAAUCUAAAGUAUUGUGUUCCUAAAAUUACCAUAAACUUAACCCAAUUUUCUGAUUUUUUAAAGAAAAGCAUCUCGAAUGCUUUAGCCAAAAGGCCAAAGUAUGUCAAUGUAUCACAUCUUUUUAUUCAUUUAACAACAAAAUUUAAAAAGUACGUAAGAACAAAAAAGAUAAAAAAUUAAGAUGACACGGGAUUCAUGGAUAAAUAUUCAUGUUAUUUCAAAACAAAUAUUCUAAGCAUUCCUUUGGUGAUUAAACUCUAAAUUUCUUAAAAUCAAAGAGCAAAUAAAGUUUAAAAUUGGGUCUUUUAUUGAAUUCAAAAUUACAACUUAGAAUACUAACCGGAAAUGACCGCAAACGGAACAGAGACUCGACAACCUCGAAGCUCGUCGGAAACUGACGAACCUCGGAUGAACCCGGACUCUCCAGAACGAGUAGUGGUAACAUCAAGCACGAGGGACUGACUAUCUUGUGUCCGCCUUCUACUCAAAUCAAGACUCGAAAGUGAUCUCAAGGGGUCGUUUGAUUUGGAGAAGUUCGUAUAUGAGAUUACCUGAUUUAGAAGGGUUCGAUUUCGAUGAUAGACGGGGGGGGNN
This 2696-nucleotide long non-coding RNA is filed under the name Nicotiana benthamiana. Its description in RNAcentral is "long non-coding RNA (NBEN_LNC032365)". Lineage: Eukaryota; Viridiplantae; Streptophyta; Magnoliopsida; Solanales; Solanaceae. The record is from RNAcentral.